This 492-nucleotide ribosomal RNA is filed under the name uncultured bacterium. RNAcentral describes it as "partial 16S ribosomal RNA". It matches the Rfam family "Bacterial small subunit ribosomal RNA", at positions 29 to 507 of the family's 1533-position model. The record is from RNAcentral.
AGUGAACGCUGGCGGUAGGCCUAACACAUGCAAGUCGAACGGCAGCACAGUAAGAGCUUGCUCUUACGGGUGGCGAGUGGCGGACGGGUGAGGAAUACAUCGGAAUCUACUUUUUCGUGGGGGAUAACGUAGGGAAACUUACGCUAAUACCGCAUACGACCUACGGGUGAAAGCAGGGGAUCUUCGGACCUUGCGCGAUUGAAUGCGCCGAUGUCGGAUUAGCUAGUUGGCGGGGUAAAGGCCCACCAAGGCGACGAUCCGUAGCUGGUCUGAGAGGAGGAUCAGCCACACUGGAACUGAGACACGGUUCAGACUCCUACGGGAGGCAGCAGUGGGGAAUAUUGGACAAUAGGCGCAAGCCUGAUCCAGCCAUACCGCGUGGGUGAAGAAGGCCUUCGGGUUGUAAAGCCCUUUUGUUGGGAAAGAAAAGCAGCAGGUUAAUACCCCGCUGUUCUGACGGUACCCAAAGAAUAAGCACCGGCUAACUUCGUG